Long non-coding RNA from Trifolium pratense (red clover), 4979 nucleotides. RefSeq lists it as uncharacterized. The record is from RefSeq and is a predicted model, not a curated record. NCBI's taxonomy places the organism in Eukaryota, Viridiplantae, Streptophyta, Magnoliopsida, Fabales, Fabaceae. The transcript is spliced from 9 exons.
UUUGGGUUUCUUUGUUACCGUUUUCAAUCUUUCGAAUUUCGAAUUCAAUUUCUUUGUAAUUGAUCAUCGAAUCAAUUCAACCCUAGUAACAAGAAACCGAUCUUCGACCCAAUUUCUUCUCCGUUAGCGAAACGGUUUCGUUCUUUCGUUAAUGGAAAAAUCUCCCUCCAAGUGUGAGUCCCCGAUUCGAUUUCUUCUAUGUUAGGGAAACCGAUUCGUUCUUGUUCUUUCGUUCUUUCGUUAAUGUUUUCCAAUAUCUCAUUGCUCGAACUCUAAAGAAAUUUCUGAACGAUUCAACAUCGUCAUUUUAGGGUUUCAUGUUUCUGAACCCUAAAAUUCUUGAUUCGAUUUGAAAGAGAUAUAUAGAAAUUGAAAAGAAUUCUAAUCCCUUGCAACUUGUGAUCAAACCAUGUGGAUUCACUUCACUCUCAAUUUGAAUUGUCAAGGAACUUGUUCAUCCACUAUCUCAAAGUCGCAAGAUUUUGGAAGACAUUUAUCUUCACUUGAGUUCCAUUUUACCCGUUGUGGGAAAUGCAGAUCUGCUGAAUGCUGAAAGAAGUUGUGGCCAAAAUAAAUUACAAGACUGCAUUUUGUGUAUUGCCAUGUAUAUGGUUUAUUACGUUAAUUUGCAUCCAUUAUUUCCAUUGUGUAGAUUGACAUGGACACUAUAGAAGUCAGUAACUUGAACCGACAAUUUUUGUUUCGACAAUCCCAUGUUCGGCAGUCUAAGGAUAAAGUUGCUAGGGAUGCUGUUUUAAAAUUUAGGCCCAAGAUAAACAUCACAUCAUAUCAUGAAAAUGUCAACGGUCCUGAUUUCAACGUGGACUUCUUUAAGCAAUUUAAUGUUGUUCUGAAUGGACUUGACUAUCUUGAUGCACGCCGACAUGUGAGUCGCUUGUGCUUCGCAGCUGAUGUUCCUUUAGUUGAAAGUGGAACUACUGGGUUCCUUGGUCAGGUAAAUCUGAACAUAAGAUGCAUACCCUAUCAAUUUCAUUGGGUUCAAGUUCGAAAACAGUAUCCCCAAAUUGGUUUAUGAAUUUUUUGUUCCAAUCUUAAUGGUAAUUUGUUACCUUUUUCAUGUUACUAGUUUUCCCCCUUAGGUUAAUUCAAAAACAUUCCUCUGAAAACUGCAACAUAAUUAUCAUGUACUAAGAGAGAGAGAGGGGGAAUGAAAUUACGAGGGAAAGGAAAGGUGGGGGUCGUGGUGGCCUCGUAAUUCAAAUGCUGUCACCUCUUUGGCCCUUCAAAAUUCAGGAUGGUGUUAAAGAAACUCGAGUAUCCUUAGCAUUCACUGUUCGUGCACUCGAUGCUGGGCCUAUCAUUGCUACUCAAACAAUUAAAGUUGAUGAUCAUAUCAAGAUACACAUAUAUGUAGGCACCUGCUUUGAAGGAACGAUUCUUCUCCCCAUGGAUAUUAAUUUAUCUUUGGCGUUCCUAUGUUCUUUCGGUACUUCCCUCUUUCUUCACUCACAAAACCAUUGUUCACCUUCACCUUUGUGAUAAACUUAAACGAUGGUUUAGUGACUCAAAGAUGGUUCCGUGAUAAACUUCAACCAGUGUUGGUUCCUUUUCACCUUCACCUUCGUUCGUUCUAAUUCAGGUUCGUUUUCACCUUCGUUCGUUCUAAUUCAGGUUCGUUUUCACCUUCGUUCGUUUUGAUUCAUCUUCGUCAUGAUUUCACCCUGGUUGAUGCAGUUAUUGCUCAUUUCAUGAGAUUUGAAAAUUACAAUGCCUGUUAUAUGGCACCAGUCACUUCUUGCAUUUAUGCAGAGCUAAGUGAUUCUUCAUUUUCCGUAAUUUUUUGUUAUAGAUCAAAUACAGUAUUAUGCUCAGUGAUUCUUCAUUUUCCAUAAACAAGACUAUUGAAGAAGAUUUUUGGAAGCUGAAGAGUUGUUAGUUAACCCAAUCCAUUUUACAUAUGUUGAAUGUGAAUUAAAAUACCAAUUUGAACAAACUUAAACAAUAUGCAACGUGCAGCAAAACCUUUUGAAAUGGUAAUUGGCACUAUCCACCUGUGUGAAAACUGAAAAGUGAAAAUACAUAUGCAGGAAACAAAGACACCUCAUGAACUUUAACCAUUUCUUUUAAGUGUCAUUUUUAACAAUAGAAUGAGAUUGCAUAAUUUUCAAAAAACACACACACACACAGUGUUGAGAAGUGAGCAAUUGAUGCUUACAAUUUAGGUAGCUUAAUAUAUUAAUGUAGAAAUAGAAAAGCAUUUUAUGCUUCUUGAUACUCUGCAAAUCCUUUCAGGUUUUUAGCAGUUUUGCUUUAUAUCAAUGUGAUUUCUUGUUUUUAUCACUUCUAUAUCUUUGUUUUCAAUUUUUUUAUCAUAUAUCUUUUGGAAUUUUUUCUAAUUGAUUUGACUCAAUUUUGUCUUUCGUGAAGUAACACAGGUUCUCCAAAUUAUUGUUUAACAGAAAUGUUGUUUUGGGUAGUUAUUUGUAUGCAUUGAUUAUCCAAGAGUGUGCUAAAUUGGUGAAUCUUGAUUUUUCAUGCCUAAGAAGGUUAAUUUGGGCCCUAAGAAAUUAUGCAGUUGCUAAAAGAAUUCUAGAUAAGUCUUGAGAGAUGCUGUGUUCGGAUGCGUUAGUGAGAUGCUUUUGUUUUACCAAAUACGUGGCUUACAAUAUGAAUUCUUUAUUCAUAUGGAAUCAGGAUGGUAUACAUGAAAAUUUUGAUGGUCUAAAUGCAAUUUGAAAUAUGAAUGUUUAUUCAAAAUGCAAGUCGGUACUUAAUAACAAUUUUCUUAUUAUGGUAUAGUGUGAAGAGGGUUGUGUGUGUGCCUUGGUGCCUCUGAUGUGAAAUUGAGUAUAUGUCCCUCGAUGUUCUUAAAUUGAUUAUAUGUCCCUCAAUGUCCCUAAAUUGAUGGUCUGAAUGUGAAAGCUUGUUCAUUACUUCAUAUGUAAGUGGAAAUGACACUUGGCGCUAUAGAUGCGAAAUAGUAUCGAUGUCCACCGAUGUCCCUAAAUUGAAUAUAUGUCCAGUGAUGUCCCUAAAUUGAACAUAUGUCCCUCGUUGUCCCUAACUUGAAUAUAUGUCCCUUGAUGUCCCUAAAUUGAUGGUCUGAAUGAAUGCGAUUUCAAUGUGAAUGCUUAGUCAUAACAUGAAAUGUAAGUGGAGAUGAUCCUUGACGCGAUGACUAUACUAUGCUUUUUCGUAAUGGUAAAUUGGGAUGAUGAUUUUGUCCCGAGUGACCUUAGAUGCAAAAUUGAAUAUAUGUCGGUUGAUGGCCCUAAAUUGUUGGCCUAAAUUUGAAUUUUAUUAUAACUUUUUAUUCAUAACUUGAUAUGCAUGUUGAGACGACCCUUGAUACAGUGACUCUAUGAUGCUUUUUUAAUAAUAAUGAUGAAUUGACAUGAUGAUGGUUGUGUGCUUUUGGUUACCUUAGAUGCGAAAUUGAGUAUAUGUCCCUUGAUGACUUUGAAUGCAAAAUUCGAUAUUUGAGCCUUAUAACCCCUAAAUUGUUGGCCUAAAUGCAAUUUCAUUAUUAAUGUAGAAAUAGGAAAGAAUUUUAAGCUUCUUGAUUGGACCUUCAACGACUCUACAAAUCCUUUCAGGUUUAGCAGUGUCGCAUGUAUCAAAUUGAUUUCUUGUGAUUUCUAUCACUUCUACAUCUUUGUUUUCAAUAUUUUAUCCUUAAUCUUUUGGAAUUUUUUUGCAAUUGAUUUGACUCAAAUGUUGUCUUGCAUGCAUUGCUUCUACUGCAAAGGUCACAUAAUCUUUGAACUAUUGGGACAAUUAGAUGUUCAUAAUUCUGCCCUGUUUUUUUGUCUAUUAUGGAGUUUAUGGGAACAAUGUAUGGAAGCAAGUGCUAGAUUCAAGCUUUACGGUUGAAAACUUUGCUGGUCAAUUACUUGAAGGUUAGAAUUUAGCACAGAGAGUGCGAACCUAUUACAGGUCUGUUGCAUGCAGAACCUGCGACUGCUUCAGGUCUGAUGCGGGCAGAACCUGCGACUGCUUCAGAUCUGAUACGGGCUGGUGCUUUGCAGAAUGCUACAGCGGCUGAGCCUGGUGUGUCAUAGACAAAUUCUGCUGUUGUUAAUUGGAAAAGACCAACUCUGGGAUGAUUCAAAUAAUGCUACGCCCAGACAGAUUCUGCUGUUGUUAAUUGGGAAAGAACAACUCUGGGAUGAUUCAAAUGUAAUAUGGAUGCAUCAUUUUCGUUGAAUUUAAAUAGAGUUGGCAUUGGAAAAUGAAUUGUGAUGAACUUUGUCAAUUUGUGCUUUCAAAGACAUACUGGAUUGCCCUUCAUUGUGGAGUGGAUGUUGGCGAAGCCCGUGGGUUUCUGCAUACUCUAAUUUAGAGAAGAAAGCACCAGAUUAUGUUGUUCAAAAGGCAUAAUAUCAGAAGCCCUUUCUGCACAAGGUACAUCUUAUAUUACAAUGAAGUGAUAAAUGUUAAUGUACCAACUCUUCAAUGAAUUUGAGAAAGAUGUUAUUAUGUGUAUUACAUAUUGAGUCUUGUUUGUCGUUCAAAUGUAGAAAUCAGUUGCUAUUUGUUUGAUGGAUGUUGUAACCUAUAAAAAAUAGUAGAAAAUAUUGCUCAUCUAUUGUCAAUACCACUGGAUGUGUUCUUAUUUAGUCGACAGAAACUAUUAGAUGGCUCUUUCACUUUAAUAGUUGCUGACUUGUUUUCUGAAUGUGCAUAACAUCUUUCUAUUCAGAGCUUGCCUAACCUAUGUGGGUUUUGAGGUUUUAACCAUAAUUUAUUGAUUGAGACAUGGCUUAACUAACCCCUAUUAGACUGGUUUGCAUAGGGUAAAUUGACCUAAAGUGUGAAGGUAUAGAGGAGAAAAAGAUUCGAAAAGAAGGGAAGUUCUAGUGGGUGGGUGAUAUGGAAUCUGACUAAGCAAGAGAAGACUCUUAGCUUGCAGAAGGAUAGAAAUUUUAAAGGUGCAUUCUUCUUAUGUAAGAGUCUCUUACGGAAAUAUAGUUUAGUGUAUGAUUAAACAAACACCAUAUUAAACAGAACCAAAUUCU